AAUAUCCAUGAGUCUCCAACGACACCCACAAGCUCACCAUCAAUACUAUUGUACUUAAAUCCCUCCAAGACAGUUACAGAGCUAUCUUCAGCAGAAAGGAGCUGAAGAUGGAGGGGAUGAGCCAGCAUAAGCAAGUCACCCCAUCCCUUCUUUUCCCACUUGUACUCCAAGCAAAAUGGCUGCUUGAAAACAGCAUUACCACUUGUAGGAUAACAAGAACUGAAACGAUCAAGAACUGCUUCACUAGUUUGAUCAGAACUUGGCAAACAAGCAAUCCUAAUAAUACCUUUUGAUUUUCUUCAUCGAAACUUAAGCGCGUUAAUCUUAUUUGUUCGAAUAGCCGCCAG
RNAcentral lists this unclassified non-coding RNA (347 nucleotides) under Hevea brasiliensis (rubber tree). The record is from RNAcentral. Lineage: Eukaryota; Viridiplantae; Streptophyta; Magnoliopsida; Malpighiales; Euphorbiaceae.